RNAcentral lists this ribosomal RNA (465 nucleotides) under uncultured bacterium. Its description in RNAcentral is "partial 16S ribosomal RNA". It matches the Rfam family "Bacterial small subunit ribosomal RNA", at positions 28 to 507 of the family's 1533-position model. The record is from RNAcentral.
GACGAACGCUGGCGGCGUGCUUAACACAUGCCAGUCGAACGGAAAGGCCCUGCUUGCAGGGUACUCGAGUGGCGAACGGGUGAGUAACACGUGGGUGAUCUGCCCUGCACUUCGGGAUAAGCCUGGGAAACUGGGUCUAAUACCGGAUAUGACCUUCCAUGUAGUGUGGGGGGUGGAAAGAUUUAUCGGUGUGGGAUGAGCCCGCGGCCUAUCAGCUUGUUGGUGGGGUAAUGGCCUACCAAGGCGUCGACGGGUAGCCGGCCUGAGAGGGUGGACGGCCACAUUGGGACUGAGAUACGGCCCAGACUCCUACGGGAGGCAGCAGUGGGGAAUAUUGCACAAUGGGCGGAAGCCUGAUGCAGCGACGCCGCGUGGGGGAUGACGGCCUUCGGGUUGUAAACCUCUUUCGACAGGGACGAAGCUUCGGUGACGGUACCUGUAGAAGAAGCACCGGCUAACUACGUG